This 488-nucleotide ribosomal RNA is filed under the name uncultured euryarchaeote. RNAcentral's name for it is "bacterial SSU rRNA". It matches the Rfam family "Archaeal small subunit ribosomal RNA", at positions 860 to 1349 of the family's 1478-position model. The record is from RNAcentral. Lineage: Archaea; Methanobacteriati; Methanobacteriota.
AGGAAUUGGCGGGGGAGCACCGCAACGGGAGGAGCGUGCGGUUUAAUUGGAUUCAACACCGGAAAACUCACCAGGGGAGACCAUCACAUGAAGACCAGGCUAAUGACUUUGUCUGAUUCUUGGAGAAGUGGUGCAUGGCCAUCGUCAGUUCGUACUGUAAAGCGUUCUCUUAAGUGAGAUAACGAACAAGACCCUCACUUAUAAUUGCUACUUCGGUCUCCGGAUCGGAGGCACAUUAUCGGGACCGCUGACGCUAAGUCAGAGGAAGGAGAGGUCAACGGUAGGUCAGUAUGCCCUGAAUCUCCUGGGCUACACGCGCGCUACAAAGGGCGGGACAAUGGGUUCCGACGCCGAAAGGCGAAGGCAAUCUCGAAACCCGUCCGUAGUUCGGACUGAGGGUUGUAACUCACCCUCACGAAGCUGGAUUCCGUAGUAAUCGCGAAUCAACAACUCGCGGUGAAUAUGCCCCUGCUCCUUGCACACACCGC